GAUAUUGGGUUUUGAGGAGCAGAGGACCGAGCUCUACUGGAGAUGUAAAAGUACUGACUGGAGAUGGGAUCUCAAAGCCGUAGGCUAGCACAAGUCAUAUUUCAACACUUUGUGUGUUAAAUGUUAAAAAGUGCUUGUGUUAAAUGAUAUGAAUUAGCAAGCCAAGGACGAGUAUUUUGCAUUUAAGAAGGCACUGAGCCUUCUGGGCUUAUAGAAUGCAGGGUAUCUGCAACGGAGGAGUCUUUGAGAGUUGUAGGUUUGUUGAUUUCUCAGAAAACAUCUAAUACUUUUUAGCAUUACUUUUGCAAAUUUUCUGGCAAACUCUAUUUGGAAAACUUAGAAUAUCGAGGGUGGGGAAUCAUCUGUACUUCACGGAAGGGAAAUCAGAGAUCUUGGGUGUAUAUUGUGAAGGUUAAUUUUACAUGUCAGAUUUACCAAGGCCAUGUGGUGCCCAGAUAUUUGAUCAAAUAUUAUUUGGGUGUUUCAGUGAGAAUAAUUUUGGAUGAGAUGAACAUUGAAAUCAGUAGGCUGAGUAAAGCAGAUAGUCCUCCAUAAUGUGGGUGGGUCUCAUCCAAUAAGUUGAAGGUCUGUAUAGAACAAAAAUGCUAGUUCUCCUUCAAGUAGGAAAGAAUUUUUUCUUUCUGAUGGCCUUCAAACUAGAACAUCACCUUUUUCUUCUCUUUGAACUCAAAAGGAAAUAUUUGUUCUUCCUGCUGGCGUUUGGACUGGAACUACAUCAUCAGCUCUCCUGAUCUUCAGCUUACGAAAUCAGCUUGCAGAUUUAGGGAUUGCCAGCCUCUGUAAUUGGGAAGAAAAAUGGAAAGCUGUGAGGAAGUAAAGUCAUCAUUAGGAGAAAGUCACCGACGUGCCUCGGCUUCCUGCUUCCCUGGACUCUAGAUGCUACAGCAGUGGAGGAAAAAGAAGUCCUCCAAAGCUAGGACUCGGGACUGUCUUCGUUAUGCGUCCUUCCUAACUGGGGUCGAGGAUCUGGGGCCACCCAGACGCAGUAAGACUUUGCUGAGUGAAACCAGAAAAGUCACUGCAUAAGAACAAGGAGAGAGGAGGGGAGUGUUGGCAGAAGAGGCCAAAGGGGGGAAGAGAAGACUUCCUGCAAUCCUUUCCAAUUCAGGAUGACAAUGACAUGCAUGGAACCUUCUCCAGACAGAGAUAAUCAGCCUCAGAAGUUCAAGUUCCUUCACUACCUGCCUCUCCCUCUCCGGGAGCUUUCCCCAGACCUUUCCUAGGUACAAGUAUCCUAUGAUGUCCCAUAUUUUCCACUGACCCUACCAAACGGCUGCCUGAAGGCCUUGUGCAUCUUGAAGCCAUUCACACAGACCGCCACCACUGGCUCUACCAUUAACUGCCUGGAAGAAGCAAGCAGAGUUGAGUACUUUUUCCCUUUAUCAGCUGAAACCUAGCUUUUCCUCUCAACACAUGCUUUGUUGUAUCAGCAAGUACCUGCUGGCUCCUACUUAGAUGUUGGUUAAUUAUGGAAAGGUUUGGGGUAGGAAAGAUGGAUUAUUACAGGUCUUCUUUAAGGUUUAAUGACACGCUAAAGAAAGAAUUCUGUGUACUAUACGUGCCUUUGUGUCUGUUCUCAAACACUAUCAGAUAAGACCGUGGCAGAAGCUAGAAGUUCAAAGUCAAAGAGUAAUAAAUUCUCAUUGAUGCAAAGUCAUCCAUAAAAUAGGAUAAAUCUAGGAUUAAACAAGGUAGCCUCACCUCAGAGCUCUUGACUUUCCCAAACUUUUGGAAGUCAGUUAUAAUAUAUGUGGCCCAAUGGGUUUAAAGAUCACUAGAAAUGGAAUGUUUUGCAACAUCCAGACAGACAGAUCUAUUUUUCUUCAUCUGAGCUAGAUUCUUUGUCCUCAGCCUGGCUAAGAGUUUUAUAGGCAUCACAAUCACUGGGCCAGUCCUUUGUAAUGAGGAUGAAAGACAGAACAAUCCCAAAAUACAUCCUCUAUCAGAGUAUCAGGUCAGAAUAUAAACAGGUAGAUGGGCAGAAAGAAAAUGGGGAAGCUACCUUUAAAAACAGCAGACAAAUCUCAUAAGGUAGCUCUCUGCUUCGCCUUGAACUGAGAAACUAAAACCACCGCUUAGCAAUUUUAUCUUUUCCUCUCCACCAUACUAUUUUUGGUUUGUAGCUAUUGUGCCUGGAUUAUUAAAUGCUUUCCUCGCUGAGCUGUCUUUUCUUCCUUUUCAAAAGCAAUCUGCAAAACACUGUCAGAUUAAUAUUCCAAAAAACUGUUUCACAUGAGCCGAUCAUUUAGCUCAGAAGUCCUUUAGAGUUUAAAGUACUAUGUAUAGAAUAAAGUUCAGAAUAAAAUUCAAGGUCCACCUGACCCUUCUGACUUUCAAAACCAUCCACUGCCUAUUUCCAAUACUCCACUGUACUCCUAUCUUCCUCUACACGUAUGUAUGCACGUUACAUCCUCUGCUCAGAGGAUACUAAUGAAAACAGUCCCCAAAACCCAUCAGCCACAUUCAUACCAGUCUGCCCUUAUUCAUACUAUUCUUUUAGGCUAAAAUGUUCUCCACCCCAGUCGCCAUCUAUACAAAGCUUAUUUCUUCUUAGAGAUGCAAUGCAAGUUCCACUGCUUGCCUCGUCAUUUCGGGCACAACGUAGAUCUUGCCUGCCCUGGACCUGAACAUUGUUGUUCUUGACAUUGCUUUGGGUUAUAUUCCAGGUAAACGAACUUUCUCUUCCCAAAAUGAGCAGCUUCUUCAGACAAAGACCAUUGGCUAUAUCUCUUAUAUAUUACAUGAUACCUAAUAUAGAUCUGUAAAUGUGCCUAUAUUUACACCUAUAUCCUAUUAAUAAAACCCAUUAUAAAUUGGUGACUUCUCAAAUUAUCAGUUGUAGAGUGUAUUCGUCUGUUGCAAGAUUGUAACAUUCAGACUUUACCCUGAAAAUCAACACAGUCACAAACUGAGUAUGCAGCAACAGCAAACACAUGCCAGAUCUUUAUAAAGAAAAAAAAAAUACUAAACUAGAACCAACUUGUUGAGGAUUCAGAAGAGAACUACGUCUUCUGAUACAUUAUUUUUCCUGGGCUUUUAAACUCUUUACAGUGGCUCUUAU
This is a long non-coding RNA of Felis catus (domestic cat), 3082 nucleotides long. RefSeq lists it as uncharacterized. The transcript has 5 exons. NCBI's taxonomy places the organism in Eukaryota, Metazoa, Chordata, Mammalia, Carnivora, Felidae. The record is from RefSeq and is a predicted model, not a curated record.